CGGGCUGCCUGGUGCUGCUCCGCUCAGGCGCGGGGCGGGCAGCCCCGGGAAGGCCCCGCAGUUAAGGAAGGCCGCGGCACCGCCUCUCUCUUUUUGGCCCGAGCCGCCAUUUUGUAGACACGCGGGGGAGCCGCGCCGAGCGCCGCUCGCUGCCCUCAGAGUAAUCAGCCAAAAUGACGAACACAAAGGGAAAGAGGAGGGGGACACGUUAUAUGUUUUCAAGGCCAUUUCGCAAGCAUGGAGUUGUCCCUUUGGCCACCUACAUGCGCAUCUAUAAGAAGGGCGAUAUUGUUGAUAUCAAGGGUAUGGGUACUGUUCAACAAGGUAUGCCUCACAAGUGUUACCAUGGCAAGACUGGAAGGGUAUAUAAUGUUACUCAGCAUGCUGUGGGCAUUAUCGUAAACAAGAAGGUUAAGGGCAAGAUUCUUGCCAAGAGGAUUAAUGUGCGUAUUGAGCAUAUUAAACAUUCAAAGAGCAGAGACAGCUUCCUGCAGCGUGUGAAGGAGAAUGAAAGGAAGAAAAAGGAAGCAAAAGAAAAAGGCAUUUGGGUUCAGCUGAAACGUCAGCCUGCUCCACCAAGGGAAGCACACUUUGUGAGGACCAACGGCAAGGAGCCAGAGCUGCUGGAGCCAAUUCCCUAUGAAUUCAUGGCAUAAUAUGCUUCAGAAAACCUGCACUUCCUUUUAUUGAAGAUUACUUAAUUGCCUUGCCUUGGAUGGUGCUGGGUCACUAGAUAAUCUGCAACUUUUGCUUAUCAGUUUAGUCAUUUAUGUAGACUGUAAAUCUUGAGGACACUGAAAUUUGCUAAUGCUCAAUGAUGAUCAUCCUUCUUUGAUUACCUGAUGAGGUAAUGUGAGAGGACAUGGAAUAUUUCACCGGCGAACUGAGAGCAUAUAGCAAGACUCCUACAGUGUCAUUUGAAGAUUUAUUUUUUUAAUGGGAAUAGAGAUAACAGGCUUCAAAUCUCACUUAUUAUAAGCCUUUGAUUAAAGGGCCUCAGAUUAAUACCAAAGAACACUUGGUCCACAGCUGCAGAAAACUGCCUUUUUGAAAAAUGGCUGUGGGCACACAUCAGUGUUUCAUCACUGUAAGCCCUAAAAGAGGGAUCCCCAGGCCAAGAAACAUCCUUAGGAAAAAGUAGUAGUUUAGAAACAAGUCUCUUAAUGCCAAAGAGCGGCAGUUUUGAACUUUAUUUUUAUUGUUGUGAUCAGCCUGCAUAGCUGAAUACUUGAAUUUUGUGUGGAAAAGAUGAUUGGAUGUCUGAAUCUAAAUACCUACCUGGAUGCUCUAAUGCAUUCUUCCCACCUCAUUGAUUCUAUUUUAAUACAUCACAAAAAGGAAAAUACCAUAGGAAACUGAACCCAGUGCUACCUGCCUAGUGUUUAAUCAGAAGAACAUCUUUAGCUAACUCUACUUACUGACCAAUACUAUGGUUUUUUUCUUUUUCUUUUUUUUGAGUUAUGUUUGAAAUUGUGUAAAGGUUGCUAAAGAAACUGCUGAAGGUUACUUGCUCAGUCACCUUUGAAGAUAUGUAAGCUGAAUCUUAACUCUUAGGAAUGUAAAAGAUCAUCCAUAUCCAAGGUGUGAUGUAGGGCACUGCUUACCUACCUCAAGUAAGUGAUGCCAAAGUAAUGUCUACAUGUACAGGGUGUAAAACACUAAAGAAGCUAGUCACCUCAAGCACUUUGUAGGUAUUGACUAUUGAAAAUUCCAUAUAAAUGAAAGGAUUAAGCCCUGUUUAUAGUUAUCUGAUAUUGAAUUGUGGGUGCUCCCAUUCUCAUGGAAUGUAGUUUUUGGAUGUAGAAAUUGUUCUCUGGCUUGGCCUGAAAUUUAAGGGUGAAAGGCUUUGAGCACCAGAGGUUCAUAGUCACAGUGAGCAGGUACUGCAUUUGAUGUUUCUCCAGACUCCCAUCUCAGAAGAUGGAGCAGGCAGUAUAGUUGGAAUGACUUUGAAACUGCCUUGAAGAAGAUGGGGCAAAGCAUACCCAUUAACAGGCUGGUAUGUGAUAUUAGUGACAGUUCUUGAAUUUUGGCAUCAUAUGUAUUAGAUGUAGGGUGUACCACAGUUCUGAAGCAAGGCUGAUGAAUAUAUCUUAAAUGAAUGAGCCACAGCACUGAAAGUUAAGAUCAGGUGGGGUUUUCUUGGAACAGCUCAAUGUGUAUACUAAUGCAUAGACCUUUAUCAGCUGCUUUGGCUUGUAAGCUUUCUCAGCAAAUUCAAAUAAAUAAUUGACUUGCAAGAUAAGCCUCAUUUUCAUUUAGGCUUGGCUUGUUGAGUUAAGUGGGAGGCUUUUGUGGGGAAUGAUCUCUGGUAUUCUGUUCUCUGCUCAUGCGUGCCUGUGUAAGUUGCUUUGGUUCUAUAUGUUUUGUACUUUUCUGUCAAGAUAAAAGUGGUUUGGCCCUAGAAUCAUGAUAAAAUGGUUAACAGUAACUUGAGUAAGUGGUGGGUUGUUGAAAAUAAAUGCAAAAGUCUAGAACUAAAAAUUCUGGAGAAGCACAGAAAUGCUGUGCAUAGCAACAAUUUUCCAUGUAAUUGGUUUCUGUUUUGAAGGUCACUAUGCAGACAGUAGAAGCUCAUAUGCACAUAUUUGGAAGCUGUGUGUUGGCUGGGAGGAGAAGGAGGAAAUUCUUUCCUUGGUUAGGAUUCCCAGAAAUGACUGAAAAUGAAAUUGGGUUUGUGUGACAAGAAAAUUAUCUUUUUAAGGUUUCUUAAUGUCUGAAAAAUACAAAUUGAUGAAAGAUUUAACCUGUCAUAAGUUUAUAGACAUUACCUUGUAGUUACACUCAGUGCACUGGUGCUCUUCCUGAUAACCUCAGAGGUUUGCUAUUGAAGCUUGCUUCCCAUGUGCUUAGCUAUCUUGUUUUUGCACAGUCCUGACAAAAGAGGGAGAUCUAGGAAUUGAGAAGUUGCUUGAAAUCUGCCUGUUAGGAUAUCUUCAGUCACAGAGCUAGUUUCUAAAUUGAUGUGCAUUGUUCUUUAUGUAAGACGAUUUUAAAUAUAUACAGACCUUGCUGAAUAUUGGGGGGUGGGGGGGCAGCAGGACAUGGGCAGGUAUUCUGUAGUUCAGCACCUGUGCCUCUCUGGGCAUGUGAAGCAUUUUUCCUUAGUGGUUCAACAUACUCUGUAUGGGGUAUUGCACAUUAGACCCAUAAAAGAGUUGUGGCUGUAGUCAAUACUCUGCUGUCCUACUUUGAGGCGGUGCCUAGCAGGCAAAAACUUGUAGCUAGCAUGCCAGCUAUGUGCUAGGUGUUUCUUCUGUCUUCAUAUUGUUACAGAAUUGGAUUGUUUCGCUCCCUGAUACUUUGCAUUGUGACAAACUGUUGUGUUUAAAGCUAUAGGUGUCCCAUAUAUUUAGGCACACCCUGAGGGCUACUGGAAUUCAAGAAUCUCUAGUUUAACGGCCAGUCUCUCAAAAAUGUUGUUACUCUAUGUUACUUGUCUUUUAGGCUGCCUUCUAGUACAUGCACUUCAUAAUACCUGAGCUGGUGGUCAGGUUCCUGCUCUACAUCACAGGGGGAGAGUGAAGAGCUUAUGAGUAGGAUUAACUCAACUUCAGUGAACUGAUGGAAAAGACUAAAAUGACAGCUGUGAUUUAAGCCUGACUCUGUUGGGGAUUUACUGUCGGGUAGAUAGUGUCAAAAUUGCAUAGAUAAAUCCCUGUUCUUAGAAUCCUAGAGGUAGCAGUGAUAUUCCUUUUUGCCCAAUACUCUGUGUGUUUUGUAAGCAGUGCAGCUCCAAAUCUCCCAAUGGCUUACAGUUAUAUAUGCACACAUCCCAAAGAAUGCUUAGCUGCUGGGCUGUGGCACAUUGGGCUGGUUUUUUUUCCCCCUCCUCUAACCCUUUUGCUGAUGCUAUUGUGCUGUUGAGGCAAACUUAAAUAUUUGGUAAGACAAGGACAGAGCAAAUGACUGCAGGUGGCUUGGCAGCUUUGUUCCUAGGCCAGGCCCUUGCAGAAGAGAGAUUUGAUUAAAAAGUUCUCCCAUGUCCUAUCUGAAUAUGCCCACUGGGGAGGAAAUAAGAGAGCUUUUUCUCUGGCUUUCUUGGGUGGGUGGAUCUAGAGGCAUGAUGGAUGUGAUCUGAGAACAUCUAGUAGAUUGCAGCUGGUAGGCAUUUGGUGAAAUUUCUUCUGGUAAUCUGGUGAUAAUGGCAGGACUUCGUGUAUAUGUCCAGUGAUAGUUCUUUAUGGGGCUUUCUUUUGAGCUGUUUGUCAGCUUCAGCCUCUUUAGCAUAUCACUUGCACCAACGUCAGAGUUUUUCUGAGGGCUGUGUAGUCAGUAUUAGUGUGUGCUAAUUCUGUGUGUGACCAGGAAGGAUCAAAAAGAGCAAAAAGCACUGGGGAAGAGAAACCAUGUCUCUAUGCAGACUGCAGGCUGAGGAUGCCAGCAGGAAGCAGAUGAAGCAAGAAAGCCUGAGUGGGGUGAGAAAUGUGCAGGGACACUCCCAUCCCCAUUGCUGGGGGGAGGCAGAUAAGCAGCUGACACAAAGACAUUCUUUCUUAAUCUUCCUGUUGUAUUUAUCACAUAAGGGAAAAAGAUCUUGAGGUUUCCUUCCUUGUCCUUCUCUGCCCAAUUCUGGACUUGACAUUUUCAUGACCCUCAUGAUCAAAGGGACAGCUGGCCAUCCCAGGCACAGGUACCAUGCUGUGGGGUGUCCUGACAGGUUGCAGAGCAUGCCAAGAGCUGCGCAUACAGCUGCCAAAGAAAGUGAUCCUUUCUGUUCCAGCCCAGGUAGAUCAGCUCAGCAGGGCGCAGUGGGUUUCUCUGGUUGAGGGAUUGUAGAGAAAGAACAGUGGUUAAACUGGACCUGGGCUUGUCACUGUCUAGGCAGCAGCUUCUGGCUGGGAUGCAGGUAGUGCCUCCCACAGUGUAGGAAGACAUACUACUGCAAAUGAUUUUCCCCCUUGCUUGGAAAAGAGUACCAGCAUCCCCCUUGAUUCAGAGGGUGGUGGUAUGGAAGACACAAAUCAUUUCAUGUGAGACCUGCUUAAAUGUCUGUGAAUCUAUCUGUGGAGAUGCUGCCAAGGCCUGGGUAGGAAUCAAGUUUUCGCUCUUGGGGUUUACAUAGUCAUAACCAUCCUGGGUUAGGCACUGAGUAGGAACAUGGCUUCCAUCAGCAGCACCCAUACAGGUCAGGAACCCAAAGAGUGCAAACAUCUGGGUAAUGUUGCUGAUGUCUUAAUUCACACUAUUUGGAUGAUGGCCUUGGAGGCCUCAGUCACCAUUUUCCCCAUGCCCAUCCCAAACUGAUUGGUCAUUGACCAUCAAGAAUCGGGUAAUUUAAGGCUCCUCAGGGAUAACAGCUGCACUCCUGUACAUGGGCUUUUGCUCCUGAAAUUUCAUAGGAGUGUGGUGCAGCUGUACCAGCUCACAGCAAAGGCCUCACUAGUGUGCCUGCACAUAAGGGAGCUUUGCACCUGCUGCUGGUUAUCCCACAUCCUAAGGAUGAUAUGGCCUGCUAACCUUGAACCUAGAGCUUCUAGUGGACUGUAGCAACAGCUAGGACUCCCAGGAAAACACGGUGCACAUCUUGUUUCUUAGAGAAAAGGGGACUUGGAGGCUCUCCGUGUGUCCUUCCCAAAUGGCUACUCCAGCCACAGGGGAUUAGUCCCCUACCCACUCCUCCAAAAGUACCUAGUGUUGAAUGUUACCAGAACUUGGAACAGGGAGGUGAUCAGGCAGCCAGACUCUGGUGUCAGAGGGAACACAAGUGGGACUAAAUCUUGUUUCUGUGAGAGAGGCCUCAUAUAGAUGAUAGGGAUGGUGGCAUGUGCAGUCUGCAAGGGAUGGGCAGAAGUACAGCUUGAUGCUUCCAAGCGGGACCUGGAGUUGAGAAAGCAAAGGCUUCUUGGGAUAACUUUGAACUUCUUGGGGAGUUUGGCUCCACAGGAUGGCAACUGAUCUAAUCUGAAGUAAAGCCUCUGAACCACAUGUGUGAGGAACCUCAGCUCCAACUGCUUCAACCUCCUGAUCUGGACCAUUGCACCAAAGUAGUUGAUGUAGACGCAGCCCAUUCCUCCCUGGAAAUGAAUUCCCUCACAGUGUUUCCUACCCAGUCAGAUGCUAGUCAUCUCUGAGCAGGACACCACUGGCUUUCCUUGGGGUGUGGGAGAGUGGUGGUGGGGGAUGUUCUAAGCAGCAGACAAAGCAGCAUGAGCAUUACAGCUUCCCAGAAACAGGAUGAGCUCCUCAAGUUUUGGGGAUAGUGUUGAUUAAUACUGCUACUUUCACAACUCAGCAGCUGCCAAUCAUCUGCCUGGAAUGGACUCAUUUUAAUAAUGUUCUUUCAAGAGCACAAUGAAUGUACUCUGAUAGCUCUUUUGUAAAGAAAAGCAUAAAAAUAGCUUGUGUUUGUGCCGUGUGCAAGGCCAAAGACAAGUGAUGGUGCAUGACAAUGGGAGCAGAUGACAAUAGCAUUAACCUCUGGGAACCAAAAGCUUUUAGUGAUAAAAGAGAAAUCUUGAUUACAAAAGAAAAAGGACUCACUGGCAUGAUGGGAAGUUUUGAAGUAGAAAUUUUAGAAACAAUCAGUUUGCAAGGUUAAAAAUGGCCUUGAUACUCUAGGGGUUCUUAAGCACUGAAGUAAUACAAAUAGUAAACAGCACUUAUUCCACAAUGUUUUUCCUAGGCACUACUGUAACUGCUGUUAAUUAGCUUGGUGUUAACUACUCUGAGAUAUGUGGGACCCUUCACUACCAAGUAAAGUGGAGUCUUUAUCAGCAAGGGAGUGAAAAUGCCUGGAAACAGCCAGCUGCAAGUCUGGGCCAAGGGUGGAGAAGAAGGAAAGUGAAUUUAAGCCCCGUCUUGGCAGCUUGAUGCCCCCCAUGCAGCCCCUGAGUGCCCCCGUGCCAGGUCUGCGCAGCCCGGCUGGCAUGGAGCUGGCUUCCCCGUGACACUGGACCAUGAAACUACAAACCCUCCCUGGGAUUUAGACGCUAAUUGGCCCUUCUGGUCAAGCUCCUUUCAAAUACCAUGUUACUGAAAUCUUCCAUGUUAUUUCCCACUAGCUUGCGUUGUCUCUGUGACAAUAUUAAAAAGACAGCCCUUUAACGAAUUAUUUGAUCUUGGAAACGCUUACGUGCUUGCAAAGCAGUGUGCUGCAGCAGCAAUUUUACUGAAGCCAAGGCAACGGUUCACACAAAAAGAUUUAAGCGUAAACACAACUGUUUGCAGGUUUGAGGCUUCAACUGCUAAAUUAGGAAAUUAAGCCCUCAGGAUGGAGCACCUUUCUUUUCUGAAACUUUGUUUCACAUUAAAAACCAAAAGGGGCCUAAUUCAAACCUCAAGGCCAAGUGGACCACUCCAAAUCCAAGGCUGGCUUUUGCCUGGUGUGCAAGCCCAGAUUUCAACAACAGCAACAGAGGAAUGUAUCCAUAUGUGACAAACAAAAUAGUCUGAGAUACAACCAUUUCCCCCUCUUCUCCUUUUGCGACUGAAGAAACUCGCUGUGGGGAGAACGAGGAAAGCAGGUGCUUGUUCCUGGUGGCGGUGUGCGAUGUGGCCUCACUCCCGGCUUCUUUUUUCGGCAUUGUGGGUGAACUGAAACUUUCUGUGCUGUGAAUCUGCAUAUGUACAAUUCUUUAUAAAAUUUAUAAUUUAUAAAUUUUAAAAUUUAUAAUAAAUUUAUAAAUAAUAAAAUAAUAAUUUAUGUAUAAAUUUCA
This is an RNA transcript of Dromaius novaehollandiae (emu), 7658 nucleotides long. It is a transcript of the gene named ribosomal protein L21, with no coding region annotated. The record is from RefSeq and is a predicted model, not a curated record. NCBI's taxonomy places the organism in Eukaryota, Metazoa, Chordata, Aves, Casuariiformes, Dromaiidae. The transcript has 8 exons.